UACGUAGGGUGCGAGCGUUGUCCGGAAUUAUUGGGCGUAAAGAGCUUGUAGGCGGUUUGUCGCGUCUGCUGUGAAAAUCCGGGGCUCAACCCCGGACUUGCAGUGGGUACGGGCAGACUAGAGUGUGGUAGGGGAGACUGGAAUUCCUGGUGUAGUGGUGGAAUGCGCAGAUAUCAGGAGGAACACCGAUGGCGAAGGCAGGUCUCUGGGCCACUACUGACGCUGAGAAGCGAAAGCAUGGGGAGCGAACAGG
Molecule: ribosomal RNA, 253 nt
Filed under: uncultured bacterium
Lineage: Bacteria
Description: partial 16S ribosomal RNA
Rfam family: Bacterial small subunit ribosomal RNA
Source: RNAcentral